UCUUCUCAUUAUAAAUGUAUAUGGUUAUCGCUUACAAGCUAUUGUAGUUGUAUCUACAACAAAUACUGCAUUUUAUGCUCUACAUUUUAUACAUUCGAUUUGUUUGGGUUGAUUCCAGUUCGGUUUGAGAUACUUAGUUAUCCAAGUUCAAUCUAUCCUCAAGAUGAGUCAUAUUUUUCAAUCCAAGCCUAAACCAAGUAACUUUGGUUUGAAUUGGAUUAGAUUAUUUUAGAUUGGUUACAAAUUAAAAGCAAGUAAUUCUAAUCCACUUGCGGCAGAGUAAAAAGCUAUUCACAUUUUUAUACCUUUUUUCUUGUCCCCCUUCGAACUCUAAUUUCUCUUCACCGGUGGUAGAGUUUUUCCUUAGGUUGGAAAAAAAGAACUACGAAGGAUUGCUUCGAAAAAUGGAGCGGGCUGACUGCGAUGCUCUUUUUCUCUCCGAAAAAAGCAAAGGAGGGAGUCGGCUGCUUUAAUGGUUUAGUAGCCGCCCUUUUCUUGAUUUUUACACAAGGUCACCAGACUAAAAUUCCAAUAAGGUAGGAAAACACUCUUCUAUAGAUUAACUCAUCAGCCCUUAUGGUGCAG
RNAcentral lists this long non-coding RNA (585 nucleotides) under Phoenix dactylifera (date palm). RNAcentral describes it as "long non-coding RNA (PDAC_LNC021222)". The record is from RNAcentral. Lineage: Eukaryota; Viridiplantae; Streptophyta; Magnoliopsida; Arecales; Arecaceae.